RNAcentral lists this ribosomal RNA (517 nucleotides) under uncultured bacterium. RNAcentral describes it as "bacterial SSU rRNA". It matches the Rfam family "Bacterial small subunit ribosomal RNA", at positions 40 to 576 of the family's 1533-position model. The record is from RNAcentral.
UGACUGGCAGAUAGCUUGCUAUCAGCCACAGGCUAUCAGCUAUUGGUCGGUUAGUGGCAAACGGGUGAGUAACACGUGGGUGACCUGCCCCGAAGAGGGGGGCAACUGUUGGAAACGACAGCUAAUACCCCAUAUGCUCUGCGGUGUUAGAGGACCACAGAGGAAAGUUCCGACGCUUCGGGAGGGGCCUGCGGCCUAUCAGCUAGUUGGUGAGGUAAUGGCUUACCAAGGCUAUGACGGGUAGGGGGCCUGAGAGGGUGUUCCCCCACACUGGCACUGAGACACGGGCCAGACUCCUACGGGGGGCAGCAGUGAGGAAUAUUGCUCAAUGGGCGCAAGCCUGAAGCAGUGACGCCGCGUGGAGGAUGAAGGCCUUCGGGCUGUAAACUCCUUUUCCAGAGGACGAGGAAGGACGGUACUCUGGGAAUAAGCCCCGGCUAACUACGUGCCAGCAGCCGCGGUAAUACGUAGGGGGCGAGCGUUAUCCGGAUUCAUUGGGCGUAAAGAGCUCGUAGGU